This 564-nucleotide ribosomal RNA is filed under the name uncultured Glomeromycotina. RNAcentral describes it as "SSU rRNA". It matches the Rfam family "Eukaryotic small subunit ribosomal RNA", at positions 548 to 1114 of the family's 1831-position model. Lineage: Eukaryota; Fungi; Glomeromycota. The record is from RNAcentral.
UUGGAGGGCAAGUCUGGUGCCAGCAGCCGCGGUAAUCCCAGCUCCAAUAGCGUAUAUUAAAGUUGUUGCAGUUAAAAGGCUCGUAGUUGAAUUUCGAGAUCAAAUUGUUGGUCGUGCCUCGGUACGCACUGGCAUUAUUGAUUUCUCCCUUCUGAAGAACCUUGAUGUCAUUAAUUUGGUGUCUUGGGGAAUCAGGACCGUUACUUUGAAAAAAUUAGAGUGUUUAAAGCAGGCUCACGCUUGAAUACAUUAGCAUGGAAUAAUGAAAUAGGACGUUUGACCCUAUUUUGUUGGUUUCUAGGAUCGACGUAAUGAUUAAUAGGGAUAGUUGGGGGCAUUAGUAUUCAAUUGUCAGAGGUGAAAUUCUUGGAUUUAUUGAAGACUAACUACUGCGAAAGCAUUUGCCAAGGAUGUUUUCAUUAAUCAAGAACGAAAGUUAGGGGAUCGAAGACGAUCAGAUACCGUCGUAGUCUUAACCAUAAACUAUGCCGACUAGGGAUCGGAUGAUGUUAAUUUUUUAAUGACUCAUUCGGCGCCUUACGGGAAACCAAAGUGUUUGGGUUC